UACGUAGGCAGCAAGCGUUGUUCGGAGUUACUGGGCGUAAAGGGUGUGUAGGCGGUUGUUUAAGUUUGGUGUGAAAUCUCCCGGCUCAACCGGGAGGGUGCGCCGAAUACUGAAUGACUAGAGUGCGGGAGAGGAAAGUGGAAUUCCUGGUGUAGCGGUGAAAUGCGUAGAUAUCAGGAGGAACACCGGUGGUGUAGACGGCUUUCUGGACCGUAACUGACGCUGAGACACGAAGGCGUGGGUAGCAAACAGG
RNAcentral lists this ribosomal RNA (253 nucleotides) under uncultured bacterium. RNAcentral describes it as "partial 16S ribosomal RNA". It matches the Rfam family "Bacterial small subunit ribosomal RNA", at positions 524 to 776 of the family's 1533-position model. The record is from RNAcentral.